RNAcentral lists this ribosomal RNA (20 nucleotides) under Fusarium equiseti. RNAcentral's name for it is "partial 28S ribosomal RNA". Lineage: Eukaryota; Fungi; Ascomycota; Sordariomycetes; Hypocreales; Nectriaceae. The record is from RNAcentral.
UGUGACCUCGGAUCAGGUAG